GAUGAACGCUGGCGGCGUGCCUAAUACAUGCAAGUCGAGCGAACAGACGAGGAGCUUGCUCCUCUGACGUUAGCGGCGGGCGGGUGAGUAACACGUGGAUAACCUACCUAUCAGACUGGGAUAACUUCGGGAAACCGGAGCUAAUCCCGGAUAAUAUAUUGAACCGCAUGGUUCAAUAGUGAAAGACGGUUUUGCUGUCACUUCUCGAUGGAUCCGCGCCGCAUUAGCUAGUUGGUAAGCUAACGGCUUACCAAGGCGACGAUGCGUAGCCGACCUGAGAGGGGGAUCGGCCACACUGGAACGUAGACACGGACCAGACGCCUACGGGAGGCAGCAGUAGGGAAUGUGCCGCAAUGGGCGAAAGCCUGACGGAGCAACGCCGCGUGAGUGAUGAAGGUGUUCGGAGCGUAAAACUCUGUUAUUAGGUAAGAACAAAUGUGUAAGGAACUAUGCACGGCUUGACGGUACUGAAUCAGAAAGCCACGGCUAACUACGUG
Molecule: ribosomal RNA, 497 nt
Filed under: uncultured bacterium
Lineage: Bacteria
Description: partial 16S ribosomal RNA
Rfam family: Bacterial small subunit ribosomal RNA
Source: RNAcentral